AUAUAUGCUUUGAUAAGGAUAGUAGCAAAAUAAGUUUAUUAAAGAGAGAUAAUCAUUUGGUGUGAGAUUAUCAUAAAUAGUUUUGUGAAGAUCACCUUUGAGCAUAAUACCUGAACAGAGUAGGGUAUUACGUGAAGACGUUAUACUUAUUAAGUGACAAGAAGUAUUUUUACUUUUUGUAAUUUGGGUGGUACCGCGGAAAUUUCGUCCCUAAG
RNAcentral lists this non-coding RNA (215 nucleotides) under Tissierella praeacuta. RNAcentral's name for it is "T-box sequence". It matches the Rfam family "T-box leader". Rfam says of the family: Uncharged tRNA acts as the effector for transcription antitermination of genes in the T-box leader family. The record is from RNAcentral. Lineage: Bacteria; Bacillati; Bacillota; Tissierellia; Tissierellales; Tissierellaceae.